RNAcentral lists this ribosomal RNA (446 nucleotides) under uncultured bacterium. Its description in RNAcentral is "partial 16S ribosomal RNA". It matches the Rfam family "Bacterial small subunit ribosomal RNA", at positions 338 to 795 of the family's 1533-position model. The record is from RNAcentral.
CCUACGGGAGGCAGCAGUCGAGAAUCAUUCACAAUGGGGGAAACCCUGAUGGUGCGACGCCGCGUGGGGGAAUGAAGGUCUUCGGAUUGUAAACCCCUGUCAUGUGGGAGCAAAUUAAAAAGAUAGUACCACAAGAGGAAGAGACGGCUAACUCUGUGCCAGCAGCCGCGGUAAUACAGAGGUCUCAAGCGUUGUUCGGAAUCACUGGGCGUAAAGCGUGCGGAGGCGGUUUCGUAAGUCGUGUGUGAAAGGCGCGGGCUCAACCCGCGGACGGCACAUGAUACUGCGAGACUAGAGUAAUGGAGGGGGAACCGGAAUUCUCGGUGUAGCAGUGAAAUGCGUAGAUAUCGAGAGGAACACUCGUGGCGAAGGCGGGUUGCUGGACAUUAACUGACGCUGAGGCACGAAGGCCAGGGGAGCGAAAGGGAUUAGAUACCCGGGUAGUC